GAGGGGGAGACAAAGAGAUGAACCAAUGAGACAUCUCCAUUUUGCUGACAAAUAAGCCAAGUGCUUUAUCACUGUCAGAAGUUCUAUCAAUAGCAGAUGUGGGACAAAAGGGAGUGAUGGUAUCCAUAGCUGAACCCAUAACAAGCACCCCAUAACAGUUGUAACUUGUGAAAAGCAAUGUUGAGACAACACUGCAGGAUGCAGACUUUAAAUACCGCACUUUCCACUGGCCACCUAAACUGAGCCGAGCCUUCGGCGCUGUUCAUAUUUUCCUCACUGGCUCACAGCUGCCUCAGCUGAAACGUCACGCUGAAAAUCUUGUGUCAUAUUUGCUGGAACCAAACAGGGUCUGCCAUCUAUUCAUAACACACAAGCAUCUGAGUGUGCCUCACACGAACAAUAAACCAAUUAAAGGAAAACUGUCUUUUUUUAAAACCUAAUCUUUAACCACCACAUUUAUAGCAUAUGGGCAAUUACCAUGGACAAGAAUUCUGACACAUUUCCCUGUACUGCAGAAAGAAAGGAAAACGGGUUCCUCAAAACCCACCUAUAAUAGAAGUUUAGGAGCCUUUGUUGGGCAGUCAAUAAAUGAUUGUUUGGAACACAUUUUUGUAGAACUCCUUCAUGCAUUCUUCAAAUAUAUUUGUACAUUAAACUCUAAAUUUGUAUAAAUGGCUCUUUCAUGGAUAGCACUACUUUUUCAGAGGGAAGAAUUUGCUAUUAUGUGAGUAGGGGUGGACUAGUUAGUAAUCCACUAGCAAGACUAGCAGAUUUCAUGUCCUGGCUAUUAGGUUUAAUUCAUAUUUACUCAACAUGUAGGUUUAACACCUAGAAAAAACAACUCCUUAUUGACUUAUUUUGUAUGUAGAUAUGCAUCUUAAUGCACUUCAUAGUGGCACGUGCUUCUGAAUCCCACCACCUGCUGCAGCACACACAGUGGCCUGAAGAGCAUUCUGGAUGUCGGUAGAAGGGUUUUUUCCCUCCUUCCCCCUGCCGAUUUUCUCCCUUGGCCAGUUCCCACCCACCAGUCAGGUAUCCCGUAUCAUAAGACAGCUCUGGGGUUGUAUCAACUAUCACGUGCUUCCUGUGAUGCGUGUGAAGCCAGCCAACCACAUCUUUUCAAACAGCCGCUCAUGCAGUGUCACGGGAUGGGAUAAAACGGUAACACUUUACAGUACAUGAAUAAUCAUGCACUAAUACCUGAAUUAAUACUUAUUUAAAUUUGAACCACCUUUUAAGCCUAAACUGUUUCUGACAAGAACCAAAACAUGGGACUGGGCAGCACACUGGAGCUUUUACCUGCCUAGUGAGCUAGAUAAUUACAAUAAAAUAUGGUUUCUCCCCCGUAUAUGUAACAGCUGCCCUUAGAUAUCUAUAAUCAGUGAGUUUUAAGUGAGUCAACUGGAUAUCAGUUCUUUUUUCAGUACAAAAAAUGUAUCUUCCAUUCUUCUGCACUUAUACUACAGAUGUGGUACAUAGAUAUUAGCUUAUAAAUAUUUGGUAUAUUCAUUUGAAGAUCUAAAUACAUUAGUUAUUAGGUUUUUGUUCAUUAAGGAAUUUUUCAGCUGAUCACCUUUGGGUAUGACUCACAGCAUGUGAAGCGCCAUUUCCAAUCCUGCAUUUUAAUGUGGGUGUAGAUGCUCAUUUCCAAGUAGAUGCAGAACCAUGGCAGUAAUGAAGCUAAUGGCACUUGGGAACAGCAUAAUCACCUGAACUAAAUGUCCCAUUAGGACUAAUCAGCUGGUAUAAAUGUUCCAUUGGCAGAUGUCUGCUACUCAGUGCUAAAAACAGCUAGCUCAUUGGAGAGAUAGCUUUAAUUUUGCAGUAUGUUUUCUCACUGGUUCUUCUGAAGGUCCUCACUCCUGAUAUGAACAGUCUAUCUACAGCCCUGUGGUGGAUGUGUUUCUGUAAUGGAGUACAAAACUCAGUGGUCCAUGGGAGCACUCAGUUAGUUGCCUAUUUCUCCACAUGCACUAAUAUGACAACAUGUAAAAACCUGAUGUUCUUGCCUGGCUGAUCUGAGUACUGAGAAACGAUCUUGCACAGUGAAAACACACACAGUGUUCCAUCAGUCUGAGUGAUGAAAACAAUAUCCUGAUACUGGGAAUGAGAUUUGACCUCAGACACCAGACUUGGAAAACUUCAGAACAUAAAGUGCUUAUUCCUAAGGGUUCUGAGCUUCUGACCAGCAUGUUUUUCUAGGUCAUGAUUUAUGGAGGCCAGUGAGGGGUUUUGUUGAUGCUAAUUGUGACAGGGAUCUUGUGGUCGGAACCCUCAGAGGAAGCAAAAAGGAGCAGCAAGUAAAACUUCUGACUGGGGGAAGAAAAUUUACCCACAGUUAACAUCCAUCAGGAAACAAUCACAGGAUUCAUAUUGCUCUCAGGAAUUUUAGGAGAACCAGUUGACAGUUGAUAUAUAAUGCAGCACAAGUGAGAAUCCUGAUUAAAUCCCCUGAGAUACCAAAAAGAAACAAAGCAAAGAAAUGUUUAAGCAAAGAAAUGUUCUCCUGGGCGAGGAGACUCUCUCAACAACACUGCCAUUCUCUGUAGGAGUAUUAAAAGUGGACCCUGGAGCUGUUGAGUCUGACGAGUUGCGAGUUCUUUCCAUGCCUGCUUGCCUGUUUGGCCAGACCAUGGCACUCUUUUGGGAGCAGGUUUUAAGCCAUCGUGUGGAGAUGAUGAAAACAGAAAUGGCUGAGGCAGAGGAAGAAAACCAUGUAGGUGUGUGGUCUGUAAGAUAUAUGACCUUUGAAGCAAUAGAGCGCAGACAGAAGGUCGCUGUUCAAGCAUCAGAGUGGGUCACAGUUGAGUUCACUACAUGCUUUAAGUAAAUGGAGGGUUCUUCAUCGUCAUGCUACUUCCAAUGCUUACUUCACUUACUGCCAUUGCUGUUGGAAAUAUAAAGGUUUCUGCACUGUUAUGGCUCUGUGAAUAACCACUCUUCACUAUGGCAUAAAGACAAAUCUUUUUUCUGCAGUACCAAGAACAUGCCAUUUUAAUCUAUCAAAAAAAAAUGUUGAAUAAUACUGUUUGUUUUUUAAUGCUAAGAAACUUCUAAAAAUGACCCAGAGACACCUUUUCACCUUUACCCUCAUAAAAAUGUCAGGGUCUUUCAAUGUUUUCCUGCUGUCUUGACCCCCAAAUAUGGUUACGCUAUGGUAUUAGCUACAUUUUCACAAAAAGGCAAGAGGUUGCACAUGAAGUUCAGAAUGACCCUGAGUCUGAAGAGACUAUUGUUGACCUCAUGAAGUACUUCAUGAAUUAUUGAUGUAUCAGGAUGGUAAGUUCAUCUGGACUUGCAUUUACAGACCUUGCAUUCUGUGAUGGUACAUUUUGUGACUGGCUACUUAACUACUAAAGAACAGCUUGUAUGUGUCACAGUUUGACACAACUGCAUCUCAGGUUGCAUUGUCAUGUUUUCAGCAAAUCCUGCCAAAAUGUAAUAUUAUACCUCUUGAAAAAUAGAUAAAUGUUUAGUAAAAUAUUUAGUCAGAGUCCACCAUCCAAGAUGCAGGAAUACUUUAGAUGUUUCAACUAGGAUCCACUAUUAACAGUUUGCUUUAGACUGUGUGCGCAUAUGUCUUUUUCUACA
Molecule: long non-coding RNA, 3591 nt
Organism: Pangasianodon hypophthalmus (striped catfish)
Lineage: Eukaryota; Metazoa; Chordata; Actinopteri; Siluriformes; Pangasiidae
Exons: 4
Source: RefSeq, a predicted model, not a curated record